GCAUCUGUCGGGGGAUCCACACCAAACCUGGAGGAUCAGCCUUGGGAAUUCAAGUCCCGCCCUGUUUUGUGGACUUGGAAGAAGAUUUAACCCUGCAGCACUGCAAGACCUCAGCUCUGAGCGGUUCAUCAACACUGCCCCAAGCCAAGGGGGAUCUGCUUCCCAAGGGAUCCUGGCGUGGAACACACAAUUCCCUGUCCCCAUGUGCUCUGGGGAGAUGGGAUUCACUGCCCUGCUU
Molecule: long non-coding RNA, 238 nt
Organism: Melospiza melodia melodia
Lineage: Eukaryota; Metazoa; Chordata; Aves; Passeriformes; Passerellidae
Exons: 3
Source: RefSeq, a predicted model, not a curated record